GGGGAUGAUCCGGUUUCGACGGGAAUAUCGGAAAAUGGAUAAGCGAGCCGCAGACCCUGAACUGCGUAUCAACGGGGAAAAACAAUAACUGACAAUAGCGAUUUCGCUUUCGCGGCUUAAUGCCGCGCGUCAGCCCUGACCGCCUGCAGAUCAGGUAACUGGCGUCAGAAUUGCAGGGAACGAGUAUCGGCUAAGCUUUGCGCCGGUAUCCGUAAUCAUGAAGCUACUUUUCCGGCAGUUUUUCCGUGAACGGCCGUGAAAGGGAAAUCAAAGCACGGAAUGCGCUCGGAGAAAGUCCAUUGGACGGAUUUUCGGACAGGGGUUCAACUCCCCUCAUCUCCACCA
RNAcentral lists this transfer-messenger RNA (345 nucleotides) under Christensenellales. Its description in RNAcentral is "RUG740 sp900318145 Standard tmRNA". It matches the Rfam family "transfer-messenger RNA". From Rfam's summary of the family: Bacterial tmRNA, also known as 10Sa RNA or SsrA, is named for its dual tRNA and mRNA-like properties. Its role is to liberate the mRNA from a stalled ribosome. Lineage: Bacteria; Bacillati; Bacillota; Clostridia. The record is from RNAcentral. RNAcentral also lists the same sequence under 1 other name.